GCCAUAGCUCAGUCGGUUAGAGCGUGGGUCUAAUAAGCCCAAGGUCGCAGGUUCGACCCCUCCCAAGCU
Non-coding RNA from Ostertagia ostertagi, 69 nucleotides. Lineage: Eukaryota; Metazoa; Nematoda; Chromadorea; Rhabditida; Trichostrongylidae. The record is from the annotation of a GenBank genome assembly.